Long non-coding RNA from Helianthus annuus (common sunflower), 1814 nucleotides. RefSeq lists it as uncharacterized. Lineage: Eukaryota; Viridiplantae; Streptophyta; Magnoliopsida; Asterales; Asteraceae. The record is from RefSeq and is a predicted model, not a curated record. The transcript is spliced from 3 exons.
AAUACUACAAGAUAGAAUACCCGAUUCGAGAUGGGUUAAUCUCCAAGAACAAAGGUAUAGAUACCCAAUUAGAUAAUAAUCAUCGAUAUCCUCCCCAAAAACUAGAACAAAGAUAUAAAUAAGCAAUAAUAGCAGUAAUGACUGGCCCUUCAGCUCCCAUUUCCCCAUCAGUUUCCCUUCUCAAUAACUGUUCUAACCCAUUAAUAAAUCUGACCCUAUUUCCCACCCGUAUAGGAAUCGGGUUUGUAUCAAUACAUCCUGCCCCGAUAAUCGACUUGCCCUCAAGUCGAAAAGAAGGUAAUUGGCGCACCAAGCAAUGAGCCAUUCAAUUGUAGGCUGACCACCUUCAUGGACCCAUCUGUAAGCUAAAACUUGUGUUUUCUGGGGCCCGAAUUUAGGUGCAGCCCAGAAAGAAUCCUGUGCAUUAGAAUUUGGAAUUCGAAAGUCAGUAUUGAUAUCUGUUAGCUUUGCUGGCCAAUCUACUUUGUCAUCCAUCCAACCCUUGAUUGCCUUUUGAAACGACCAGUCAAGUUGUUUCUUAUCCGUCUGAGUCUUCGUGUGAUCCUUGUGUGAGUAAUCACAGAGUGACUUCAGGACAGCAUCCCCGCUGAAUAAUUUUUGCUCUAAUUCUGCAUUCUUCGUCUCUCCAUGAUUCUCGUGUUCCUCCUCUUCUAGACUGGCCUGAUCAUUUGUUUCAUCUGCAGCUUCUAGCAUUUUUUUCUCCAAAUCUGAAAUUAGAAGUGACUGACUUUUGGUUUAUGCGGUAGUUAUAGGUGUCGCUCCAGGCAUGGAAAUGUUGCUAGGAAUUUCCUCCAUUCCCAAAUCUGUCACUGGAUCCUGGUUUUCAUCCUUAGCUUCCUUUAUUGCAUCUGUUCGUCUUUCUAGCCAAGCUUCCUUGAUUUCUGCUAUAUCCUUCUUCAAGGCUAUCAAAGAAUCAAGCUUAGCAAUAAUGACUGCCAACUGGUUAGCGAUUGGGUCUAGAUAAACACCGCCUUCCUUCUGAUUAUUCUGAGUCUGCUCCAUCUUCGAUUUCCCGGCAAUGGAACCAAAUGAUAGAACCCAAAAUUAAACAAAACUGACUGAUAGAUUUAUUGUUGUAAACUGAAAUACUACAAGAUAGAAGACCCGAUUCGAGAUGGGUUAAUCUCCAAGAACAAAGGUAUAGAUACCCAAUUAGAUAAUAAUCAUCGAUAUCCUCCCCGAAAACUAGAACAAAGAUAUAAAUAAGCAAUAAUAGCAGUGAUGACUGGCCCUUCAGCUCCCAUUUCCCCAUCAGUUUCCCUUUUCAAUAACUGUUCUAACCCAUUAAUAAAUCUGACCCUAUUUCCCACCCGUAUAGGAAUCGGGUUUGUAUCAGUUGGAAUAUUUUCUACAUUUUCUGGUGAAGAAUUCAAGAGCUUUACAGCCAUAGCUAACGAACUGCUGUGGGAUUCUUGGGACUUUGAUGUUUUUCACACUGCGGAUGCCAACCUCCUUCCUCAGGGUGAAUCAUCUGUAACAACACCAACACUUCGGUUACUGAAACCGUAUGAUGAACUCUUUGUUGACUCCCAUCAACUAAAAGCAACUACUUAGCUUACUCAAAUUCAUUCAGCCAACCGAAAUAUUGCAGUGCUUGAGAGAAUCCGCUUAUGAGAGCUGCAUUAAUGGUCUAAAGUUACAAAACACAGGGACUUAUUUGUGAAUAUAUAUGGGCUGAAUGCACAUUUCAUGGGAGGUGUAGAGGAUAAUGAACCACCUUCAAAACGCGUGAAAGCAUCUUCUAGAGAACUAAAAGGUGUUUCAAACGGACUAAAACAACCAUCAACUUAUUC